UCAGACAUGGUGUAGUGUGGACAUGGCCUCUAGUAAUAAUCACCUCUGGGAUUAUAUCAGAGGCAGUCCGGGGUUCGAAACCCUGUAUCUGAA
Mycena vulgaris is the source of this 93-nucleotide non-coding RNA. NCBI's taxonomy places the organism in Eukaryota, Fungi, Basidiomycota, Agaricomycetes, Agaricales, Mycenaceae. The record is from the annotation of a GenBank genome assembly.